This 23-nucleotide non-coding RNA is filed under the name Cricetulus griseus (Chinese hamster). The record is from RNAcentral. Lineage: Eukaryota; Metazoa; Chordata; Mammalia; Rodentia; Cricetidae.
UGGAUGAAAGACCCUAGCUAACA